This 790-nucleotide small RNA is filed under the name Pongo abelii (Sumatran orangutan). Its description in RNAcentral is "processed transcript". Lineage: Eukaryota; Metazoa; Chordata; Mammalia; Primates; Hominidae. The record is from RNAcentral.
UAAUAUAUUUGACACAUUUUAAACAUUAAGGUUAAUUUGCUGAUUUGGCUUGAACUGGAGAUGUAAGAUAAAUGCCCUGAAGUUCAGUCCAUCUUGAAAAUUUCCCAACCUCAGGAGCCUGAGCUUAUGAAUGCCAACCCUUCUCCUCCACCAAGUCCUUCUCAGCAAAUCAACCUUGGCCCGUCGUCCAAUCCUCAUGCUAAACCAUCUGACUUUCACUUCUUGAAAGUGAUCGGGAAGGGCAGUUUUGGAAAGGUUCUUCUAGCAAGACACAAGGCAGAAGAAGUGUUCUAUGCAGUCAAAGUUUUACAGAAGAAAGCAAUCCUGAAAAAGAAAGAGGAGAAGCAUAUUAUGUCGGAGCGGAAUGUUCUGUUGAAGAAUGUGAAGCACCCUUUCCUGGUGGGCCUUCACUUCUCUUUCCAGACUGCUGACAAAUUGUACUUUGUCCUAGACUACAUUAAUGGUGGAGAGUUGUUCUACCAUCUCCAGAGGGAACGCUGCUUCCUGGAACCACGGGCUCGUUUCUAUGCUGCUGAAAUAGCCAGUGCCUUGGGCUACCUGCAUUCACUGAACAUCGUUUAUAGAGACUUAAAACCAGAGAAUAUUUUGCUAGAUUCACAGGGACACAUUGUCCUUACUGACUUCGGACUCUGCAAGGAGAACAUUGAACACAACAGCACGACAUCCACCUUCUGUGGCACGCCGGAGUAUCUCGCACCUGAGGUGCUUCAUAAGCAGCCUUAUGACAGGACCGUGGACUGGUGGUGCCUGGGAGCCGUCUUGUAUGAGA